Molecule: long non-coding RNA, 1411 nt
Filed under: Canis lupus familiaris (dog)
Lineage: Eukaryota; Metazoa; Chordata; Mammalia; Carnivora; Canidae
Description: lncRNA (ENSCAFG00030025286.1)
Source: RNAcentral
CCAAGACCUGGCGGCCUGGGGGGGCAGAUGCCCGGGAGGCAGCUGCGGGGGCCAGGCUGGGCUGGGGUCCAGGCCCCCCCACACCCAGGCCUGCAAGUGCUCACUGUCGAAGCAGAGGGAGGCCUCGACCUCCCCGGGGGCAAAACCCAGGUGCGAGCAGGAGCGGAGCCGUCUGUGCGCCAGCGAGCCUGGACUGCGGGGCCUGCGUGGGGCACCCGGCUGGACGGGGCGGCGCAGGGGACUGCCAGGCCACCACUGGGUGCUGCUGGGGAUGUUGGCUGCGCCCGCUGGGCGUCUGCGCAAAGGAGGUGGAGCGACGGGCCCCCCGGGCCCACUUUUCCUGUGGCCCAGACGCUCUUGGAGAGGGUGGGCGUCCGGAGAGAGGGCCGCGGACGCAGGGGGGGGGGGGGGGGCUGGCAGGUGUGAGGGCAGGUGGCCGCCAGGCAACGUUAGCAAGUGGGGGCACGGGGCACAGGGUGUGACCCGGCUGCGGGGGGCAACGGACGGCAGACAGACACGGGCGCUGACCCUGAAGCCUCAGCAGCCAGGCGGACGUGCACCGUCCCCUCCUCCCCCUGCACCUCCUCUUCCUCCCCCUACACCCCCACCCCUCCUCCCCUUGCACCUCUUCUUCCUCCUCUGCACCCCUCCCCUCCUCCCCCUGCACCUCCUCUUCCUCCCCCUCACCUCCUCUUCCUCCCCCUACACCCCCGCCCCUCCUCCCCCUGCACCUCUUCUUCCUCCUCUGCACCCCUGCCCCUCCUCCCCUUGCACCUCCUCUUCCUCCCCCUGCACCCCUCCCCUCCUCCCCCUGCACCCCUCCCUUCCUCCCCCUGCACCUCCUCUUCCUCUCCCUGCACCCCUCCCCUCUUCUCCUGCACCCCUGCCCCUCCUCCCCCUGCACCUCUUCUUCCUCCUCUGCACCCCUGCCCCUCCUCCCCUUACACCUCCUCUUCCUCCCCCUGCACCCCUCCCCUCCUCCCCUGCACCCCUGCUCCUCCUCCCCCUGCACCUCCUCUUCCUCCCCUUCACCUCCUCUUCCUCCCCCUACACCCCCACCCCUCCUCCCCCUGCACCUCUUCUUCCUCCCCUGCACUUCUGCCCCUCCUCCCCUGUACCUCCUCUUCCUCCCCCUGCACCCCUCCCCUCCUCCCCUGCACCUCCUCUUCCUCCCCCUACACCCCUGCCCCUCCUCCCCCUGCACCCCCCUCUCCUCCCCUUGAACCCCAGCCCCAGCACAGGCUUUUCCAAAGGGCAGGGAGGACCCGGGGCAUCUCUGAGCAUGGUCAUCUCGGUGCUGGACUUCCCUGAGUGCCGGUUGUCUGAGGCCGUGUGCAGGAGCCGCUUGCUGGACUCGCUGGAGCGAGGGCUCAGAUUGGACGCCAGACCUCCUGUCCUUGCCCUGAGCUGA